GAUUGCAGGCUGCAACUCGCCUGCAUGAAGUCGGAAUUGCUAGUAAUCGUAGGUCAGCAUACUACGGUGAAUACGUUCCCGGGUCUUGUACACACCGCCCGUCACACCAUGGGAGUCGGAAAUGCCCGAAGUCUGUGACCCAACCUUAGGGAGGGAGCAGCCGAAGGCAGGUCGGAUGACUGGGGUGAAGUCGUAACAAGGUACC
Molecule: ribosomal RNA, 205 nt
Filed under: uncultured bacterium
Lineage: Bacteria
Description: partial 16S ribosomal RNA
Rfam family: Bacterial small subunit ribosomal RNA
Source: RNAcentral